This 1115-nucleotide ribosomal RNA is filed under the name Lactiplantibacillus pentosus. RNAcentral's name for it is "bacterial SSU rRNA". It matches the Rfam family "Bacterial small subunit ribosomal RNA", at positions 151 to 1253 of the family's 1533-position model. The record is from RNAcentral. Lineage: Bacteria; Bacillati; Bacillota; Bacilli; Lactobacillales; Lactobacillaceae.
UGGAAACAGAUGCUAAUACCGCAUAACAACUUGGACCGCAUGGUCCGAGUUUGAAAGAUGGCUUCGGCUAUCACUUUUGGAUGGUCCCGCGGCGUAUUAGCUAGAUGGUGGGGUAACGGCUCACCAUGGCAAUGAUACGUAGCCGACCUGAGAGGGUAAUCGGCCACAUUGGGACUGAGACACGGCCCAAACUCCUACGGGAGGCAGCAGUAGGGAAUCUUCCACAAUGGACGAAAGUCUGAUGGAGCAACGCCGCGUGAGUGAAGAAGGGUUUCGGCUCGUAAAACUCUGUUGUUAAAGAAGAACAUAUCUGAGAGUAACUGUUCAGGUAUUGACGGUAUUUAACCAGAAAGCCACGGCUAACUACGUGCCAGCAGCCGCGGUAAUACGUAGGUGGCAAGCGUUGUCCGGAUUUAUUGGGCGUAAAGCGAGCGCAGGCGGUUUUUUAAGUCUGAUGUGAAAGCGUUCGGCUCAACCGAAGAAGUGCAUCGGAAACUGGGAAACUUGAGUGCAGAAGAGGACAGUGGAACUCCAUGUGUAGCGGUGAAAUGCGUAGAUAUAUGGAAGAACACCAGUGGCGAAGGCGGCUGUCUGGUCUGUAACUGACGCUGAGGCUCGAAAGUAUGGGUAGCAAACAGGAUUAGAUACCCUGGUAGUCCAUACCGUAAACGAUGAAUGCUAAGUGUUGGAGGGUUUCCGCCCUUCAGUGCUGCAGCUAACGCAUUAAGCAUUCCGCCUGGGGAGUACGGCCGCAAGGCUGAAACUCAAAGGAAUUGACGGGGGCCCGCACAAGCGGUGGAGCAUGUGGUUUAAUUCGAAGCUACGCGAAGAACCUUACCAGGUCUUGACAUACUAUGCAAAUCUAAGAGAUUAGACGUUCCCUUCGGGGACAUGGAUACAGGUGGUGCAUGGUUGUCGUCAGCUCGUGUCGUGAGAUGUUGGGUUAAGUCCCGCAACGAGCGCAACCCUUAUUAUCAGUUGCCAGCAUUAAGUUGGGCACUCUGGUGAGACUGCCGGUGACAAACCGGAGGAAGGUGGGGAUGACGUCAAAUCAUCAUGCCCCUUAUGACCUGGGCUACACACGUGCUACAAUGGAUGGUACAACGAGUUGCGAA